This 490-nucleotide ribosomal RNA is filed under the name uncultured bacterium. RNAcentral describes it as "partial 16S ribosomal RNA". It matches the Rfam family "Bacterial small subunit ribosomal RNA", at positions 30 to 507 of the family's 1533-position model. The record is from RNAcentral.
AUUGAACGCUGGCGGCAGGCCUAACACAUGCAAGUCGAACGGUAACAGGAAGCAGCUUGCUGCUUCGCUGACGAGUGGCGGACGGGUGAGUAAUGUCUGGGAAACUGCCUGAUGGAGGGGGAUAACUACUGGAAACGGUAGCUAAUACCGCAUAACGUCGCAAGACCAAAGAGGGGGACCUUAGGGCCUCUUGCCAUCGGAUGUGCCCAGAUGGGAUUAGCUAGUAGGUGGGGUAACGGCUCACCUAGGCGACGAUCCCUAGCUGGUCUGAGAGGAUGACCAGCCACACUGGAACUGGGACACGGUCCAGACUCCUACGGGAGGCAGCAGUGGGGAAUAUUGCACAAAGGGCGCAAGCCUGAUGCAGCCAUGCCGCGUGUAUGAAGAAGGCCUUCGGGUUGUAAAGUACUUUCAGCGGGGAGGAAGGGAGUAAAGUUAAUACCUUUGCUCAUUGACGUUACCCGCAGAAGAAGCACCGGCUAACUCCGUG